CACGUGGGGGGCGAGCGUUGUCCGGAUUUAUUGGGCGUAAAGGGCUCGUAGGCGGCUCAGUAAGUCGGGUGUGAAACCUCCAGGCUCAACCUGGAGACGCCACUCGAUACUGCUGUGGCUAGAGUCCGGUAGGGGAGCAUGGAAUUCCUGGUGUAGCGGUGAAAUGCGCAGAUAUCAGGAGGAACACCAGUGGCGAAGGCGGUGCUCUGGGCCGGAACUGACGCUGAUGAGCGAAAGCGUGGGGAGCAAACAGG
RNAcentral lists this ribosomal RNA (254 nucleotides) under uncultured bacterium. RNAcentral's name for it is "partial 16S ribosomal RNA". It matches the Rfam family "Bacterial small subunit ribosomal RNA", at positions 524 to 776 of the family's 1533-position model. The record is from RNAcentral.